AGUAGGGUGGCCGAGUUAGGCGGUAAACUGUAAAUUUACUCACGAAGUUAGCUUCCCUUGCUA
RNAcentral lists this transfer RNA (63 nucleotides) under Sophrops subrugatus. RNAcentral describes it as "tRNA-Tyr". The record is from RNAcentral. Lineage: Eukaryota; Metazoa; Arthropoda; Insecta; Coleoptera; Scarabaeidae.